Molecule: long non-coding RNA, 1223 nt
Filed under: Brassica napus (rape)
Lineage: Eukaryota; Viridiplantae; Streptophyta; Magnoliopsida; Brassicales; Brassicaceae
Description: long non-coding RNA (BNAP_LNC018135)
Source: RNAcentral
GGUAGUUGCACAAGUGGCAGUAUAGGUGCCUCUGUUCUUAUUUCAACACUGCCUUGUCUGGGUGUAAGGUUUUCAAUUGGGGAUCUUGAGAAAGGUGAGUAGCUCGUUCCUUGCACAAUUAUCAAGUCUUAUCUUUCAUCCCCCUCUUCUACUUGAUAACCUUAACUGGGGGGAUUUUGCACAGGUUGUAAAGCCCGAAUGGUGGAAUCCGCAGGGGGACUCUGGUAGUUACUUGAGCUUGGCCCUUGCUCUGGGAUCUCACGAGCUGCCUCUGUUGCAGCCACAAUGAUACUAGCAGCAAUUUCCUCCAAUAAACCUAAGGCAUCUCCUCUCAGGACUCUUUGCUUCCUUGCUUCUGCCUCCGUCGGAUCCACACAACUCAGAUACUGCAGCGUCACGUGGUUAAGAUCUUCCAUCACCUCAUUUGUUUGAAUUUGCUUAAGAAUUGGUUGAGACUGACGGUGAGUUACGUCUUCUUAUAGUCUUCCUUUGCAGGUGUAGUAUGGAGAGGCAUCCCCGUGUCAGGUCUUCUCGGAAUUACUUCUGGUUGUUUGACAUGCCAUUGAUUCAUCUCUCUAUGGGGGAGAAGAGGCCUGUUCCUUAAAUCUCUUCUUUCCACUUCUUCCCGAUGUCUAGUGAAAGGAGGAGAGGAGUAUUGUGUUGGUUCCUCUCGCCCAGUUCUUAUUGUCCAGUCGGUUCUUGUUUAGUUUUCAGUGAGUCGUCUGCUCCAUUCCGGCGGUGGAGGGUUCCUAGUCUGUUUGGUGCUGACUCUGCUUCCAAAGGCAUUUCCAUAUCUGUCUCUUCUGCUUUGGAAGUUCGUUUGUGGGAGGUUGCUCUCUCUUUCGGAGUUCUCUUUUCAACUUCUCCCCUUGUCUUACCAGUGCUGUAGAAGGUGACUGCUCUCUGGACGAAAGUAGAUUAUGCCUUGGGACUACACUAUCCAUGACAUCAGUGUUUUGAGUUCUCUUCAGUUUUGUUUCCGCAUGAUAUACAGGGCAGUAAGCAACCGGGUGGCAUAGUGAGAAGCAUAAGAAGCAGUGGUUUUCCUAAUUUUUGUACUCCAGGGUAAUGAUGUUUUCUUCUCCUGAUUCAUACUCCAUGAUAUAUUGCUUGACCAAGGGUUUUAGACCAUCAAUCAGUACUCUCAUCCUUGUUGUUUUCUUUGUGAGUUCGUGGUGCUCCAGGUCACCUAACUCAAAGCCCACAUUCCGAACCAUUUUUUC